This 432-nucleotide ribosomal RNA is filed under the name uncultured bacterium. RNAcentral's name for it is "bacterial SSU rRNA". It matches the Rfam family "Bacterial small subunit ribosomal RNA", at positions 355 to 786 of the family's 1533-position model. The record is from RNAcentral.
UGAGGAAUAUUGGUCAAUGGGCGGGAGCCUGAACCAGCCAAGCCGCGUGAGGGAAGAAGGCCCUAUGGGUCGUAAACCUCUUUUGUCAGGGAACAAAAGCGAGUAUGUAUACUAGUCUGAGUGUACCUGAAGAAAAAGCAUCGGCUAACUCCGUGCCAGCAGCCGCGGUAAUACGGAGGAUGCGAGCGUUAUCCGGAUUUAUUGGGUUUAAGGGUGCGUAGGCGGCGGUGCAAGUCAGCGGUAAAAGCCCGGGGCUCAACCCCGGCGAGCCGUUGAAACUGCAGUGCUAGAGAAGGCGAGAGGUACGCGGAAUGCGCAGUGUAGCGGUGAAAUGCUUAGAUAUUGCGCAGAACUCCGAUUGCGAAGGCAGCGUACUGGCGCCUGACUGACGCUGAGGCACGAAAGCGUGGGGAUCGAACAGGAUUAGAUACC